GGAGUCUUGCUGCUACUGCUCUCAGGAGGCCCUGUGCCUGCCAGGAGUUGCACUCUGGCGCAGACUGCUGUCCUGGGUGGAGGCUCCACAGGAAAAGCAAAACAAUCCAGAAACUAACUUCUCCCUUCCUUCAGCUUUCCAGCCUCUUCCCAGCGCCUGCCCCUUGGACAGCCUCACCGGAAGGAAGCUGACCCAGGAGCUGGGGAAUGUAGCUUGCAGGCUUCCACACCCCUGCAGUGGAAGAGAGAACACGGAGGACAGAAAUGGAGCUGACAGCUAACAGACAAACAACCAGCCUCAGUGGAGACAACAAUGAAACCCACCUUGUGUAGUGGCUGUGAGAUAAUAAACAGGCCGAGUUGGUGAAGCCAUAGAACAAUGCCUGGUACAUUGUAAACAAUCGCUGUUAACUAUUAUUACUAAUAUCCAAUGACUUCAGGGAAAGGGGCAUAAACAUUAAUAACAAUCAGAUUUACAUUUGAGAAACUUCAGCAGGGGGUGAUGGGAGAAUAAGAACAUUUAUGAGUCAUAGGAGAGGCAGGGCCCACUUAGGAGGUGAAUGCACCAUUUGUUCAGUCAGGGUAGAGAAAAAGAAAUUAA
RNAcentral lists this long non-coding RNA (600 nucleotides) under Marmota monax (woodchuck). The record is from RNAcentral. Lineage: Eukaryota; Metazoa; Chordata; Mammalia; Rodentia; Sciuridae.